RNAcentral lists this long non-coding RNA (728 nucleotides) under Marmota monax (woodchuck). Lineage: Eukaryota; Metazoa; Chordata; Mammalia; Rodentia; Sciuridae. The record is from RNAcentral.
CCAGGGAUAGAGCACUAAGAAUAUUUGGAUAUGUUAGGCUAUGGUGAGUUGCAUAGCACGUGGUAAGUUUGUAGAUAGCAUGGGAUUCAACUGUUGGAACAAAAAAAAAAAAAAUGGAAUAUCAUGUAUAUCUGGAUCUUAACUACAAUCUCAUCUAUGAUCCCCAGAAUUUAGGAGGUAGGAAUUUUUAGUCCUGUGUUAAACAUCCCCAUGCCUAGUGAAAGUCAGAACUGGGAUUCCAACUCCUGUUUGUCCAGCUCCAAAUCCUGUGCUCUUUAUGCCAUGCUGUGUCUGUGCUAAUUCAGACCAGAAUGUUGGUUGGAGAUGUUAGAACAAAUCAGUGACUGAAUGGUGUUAAGGUAGACAAGGUGAAGGAGAGAUUGAGACUCAUUAAGAUAUUUGGGGUGUGUGUGGGGGUUGGAGGUGGAACAUGGAUAUGGGUUGAAAAUAGUGCCUACUGUGUGUGAGGCGCUGAUCUAAGCAUCAGGGAUAGAGCGCUAAACAAGCCCAGACUUGAAGGAGCCUAGCUUCCUUGGAAUGGAACAUAUCCUUAAGGAUUGGUGCCAGGUCCUGUUUUGUGUAUUCGGUUUUCAUUCCUGAAGUGUCAGACCUGGCCUGGAAAUGCAGCGGUUUUGGGUGAAUUUUGCCUCUGAGACAGACCAACCCCUUCCUCAAGCAAAAUACCCACCUUCUUUUCUGUGGGACAGUUCAUGGAACAGCCAGCACCC